This 506-nucleotide ribosomal RNA is filed under the name uncultured bacterium. Its description in RNAcentral is "partial 16S ribosomal RNA". It matches the Rfam family "Bacterial small subunit ribosomal RNA", at positions 29 to 523 of the family's 1533-position model. The record is from RNAcentral.
AAUGAACGCUGGCGGCAGGCUUAACACAUGCAAGUCGAGCGGUAACAGAGAGAAGCUUGCUUCUCUGCUGACGAGCGGCGGACGGGUGAGUAAUGCCUAGGAAUCUGCCUAGUAGUGGGGGAUAACUUGCCGAAAGGUAAGCUAAUACCGCAUACGUCCUACGGGAGAAAGGAGGGGACCUUCGGGCCUUUCGCUAUUAGAUGAGCCUAGGUCGGAUUAGUUAGUUGGUGAGGUAAUGGCUCACCAAGACCGCGAUCCGUAACUGGUCUGAGAGGAUGAUCAGUCACACUGGAACUGAGACACGGUCCAGACUCCUACGGGAGGCAGCAGUGGGGAAUAUUGGACAAUGGGGGGAACCCUGAUUCAGCCAUGCCGCGUGUGUGAAGAAGGUCUUAGGAUUGUAAAGCACUUUAAGUUGGGAGGAAGAGCAGUUAACUAAUAUUUGACUGUUUUGACGUUACCGACAGAAUAAGCACCGGCUAACUUCGUGCCAGCAGCCGCAGUAA